GAGCAUGAGUACCGGUACGGCAUCGAGUGGGUACCGGUACGCCGUAGACUAAAUGCUUGGCCGAGGCUCGGGUUGAGCAGAUUUUGGUGCAGGGUACCGAUACUCUUUCCCGAGUACCGGUACGCAGUAUGGAAAACUGCAGCUCGUGCAGUUUGUAAAUUUUGUGAGUUGAGGGGCUUGAGUGGAUAUUGUCAUAUUGUAUUUAAAUACCCCUUCACCCUAUUUGUUCCUCAGCUAGCUGAGGCUUGAGAGAGAGAGAAUGGAGGUGGGUUUUACUCUUCU
This 282-nucleotide long non-coding RNA is filed under the name Ananas comosus (pineapple). RNAcentral's name for it is "long non-coding RNA (ACOM_LNC036614)". The record is from RNAcentral. Lineage: Eukaryota; Viridiplantae; Streptophyta; Magnoliopsida; Poales; Bromeliaceae.